Molecule: ribosomal RNA, 484 nt
Filed under: uncultured bacterium
Lineage: Bacteria
Description: partial 16S ribosomal RNA
Rfam family: Bacterial small subunit ribosomal RNA
Source: RNAcentral
AUUGAACGCUGGCGGCAUGCUUUACACAUGCAAGUCGAACGGUAACAGGGAGCUUGCUCCGCUGACGAGUGGCGAACGGGUGAGUAAUAUAUCGGAACGUACCCAAUAGUGGGGGAUAACGUAGCGAAAGUUACGCUAAUACCGCAUACGAUCUAAGGAUGAAAGCAGGGGACCUUCGGGCCUUGUGCUCCUGGAGCGGCCGAUAUCUGAUUAGCUAGUUGGUGAGGUAAAGGCUCACCAAGGCGACGAUCAGUAGCUGGUCUGAGAGGACGACCAGCCACACUGGAACUGAGACACGGUCCAGACUCCUACGGGAGGCAGCAGUGGGGAAUUUUGGACAAUGGGCGCAAGCCUGAUCCAGCAAUGCCGCGUGAGUGAAGAAGGCCUUCGGGUUGUAAAGCUCUUUUGUCAGGGAAGAAACGGGAUUGGCUAAUAUCCAGUCCUAAUGACGGUACCUGAAGAAUAAGCACCGGCUAACUACGUG